ACGGAAGGCAGCAGCUAAGAAUAUUCCGCAAUGGACGAAAGUCUGACGGAGCGACGCCGCGUGGAUGAUGAAGGCCGGAAGGUUGUAAAAUCCUUUUAUAACUGAGGAAUAAGUAAGGUGAGAGAAACGCCUUAUGGUGACUGUAGGUUAUGAAUAAGCACCGGCUAAUUACGUGCCAGCAGCCGCGGUAACACGUAAGGUGCGAGCGUUGUUCGGAAUCAUUGGGCGUAAAGGGCAUGUAGGCGGUCUGUCAAGCCAGGCGUGAAAGCCAGGGGCUCAACCCCUGAACUGCGCUUGGAACUGGCGGACUGGAGUCGCUGAGGGGGAACCGGAAUUCCUGGUGUAGGGGUGAAAUCUGUAGAUAUCAGGAAGAACACCGAUGGCGAAGGCAGGUUUCCAGCAGACGACUGACGCUGAGGUGCGAAGGUGCGGGGAGCAAACAGGAUUAGAUACCCUGGUA
Molecule: ribosomal RNA, 460 nt
Filed under: uncultured Treponema sp.
Lineage: Bacteria; Pseudomonadati; Spirochaetota; Spirochaetia; Treponematales; Treponemataceae
Description: bacterial SSU rRNA
Rfam family: Bacterial small subunit ribosomal RNA
Source: RNAcentral